RNAcentral lists this ribosomal RNA (293 nucleotides) under uncultured bacterium. RNAcentral's name for it is "partial 16S ribosomal RNA". It matches the Rfam family "Bacterial small subunit ribosomal RNA", at positions 505 to 796 of the family's 1533-position model. The record is from RNAcentral.
GUGUCAGCAGCCGCGGUAAUACGUAGGGGCCUAGCGUUGUCCGGAUUUAUUGGGCGUAAAGAGCUCGUAGGCGGCUUGGUUAGUCAGGUGUGAAAUCUCCACGCUCAACGUGGAGGGGCCACCUGAUACUGCCAUGGCUUGAGUCCGGUAGGGGAGUGUGGAAUUCCCGGUGUAGCGGUGAAAUGCGCAGAUAUCGGGAGGAACACCCGUAGCGAAGGCGGCACUCUGGGCCGGUACUGACGCUGAGGAGCGAAAGCGUGGGGAGCAAACAGGAUUAGAAACCCGCGUAGUCC